AACGUAGGGGGCGAGCGUUAUCCGGAAUUACUGGGCGUAAAGGGCGUGUAGGCGGUCAGGUGUAUCGAGGGUGAAAUCCCACGGCCCAACUGUGGGAAGACUCUCGAGAUUAUCUGACUAGAGGGUAGAAGAGGGAGAUAGAAUUCCCGGUGUAGCGGUGGAAUGCGUAGAUAUCGGGAAGAAUGCCGGUGGUGAAGACGGUCUCCCAGGCUACUCCUGACGCUGAGGCGCGAAAGCUAGGGGAGCGAACGGG
RNAcentral lists this ribosomal RNA (253 nucleotides) under uncultured microorganism. Its description in RNAcentral is "partial small subunit ribosomal RNA". It matches the Rfam family "Bacterial small subunit ribosomal RNA", at positions 524 to 776 of the family's 1533-position model. The record is from RNAcentral.